CAAUAGCGUAUAUUAAAGCUGUUGCGGUUAAAAAGCUCGUAGUUGGAUUUCUGUCAAGUACAACUGGUCCGCCCUCCGGGUGAGCACAUAGUUUGGUCUUGGCAUCUUGCUGGAAAUUGUUGCUGCACUUGGCUGUGUGGCGCAGUGUCCAGCACUUUCACUUUGAGGAAAUUGGAGUGUUUCAAGCAGGCAAUGCCUUUGAACACAGUAGCAUGGAAUAAUUAGAUUGGGCUUUUGCUCCAAUUUGUCGGUUUCUGGAGCUGAGGUGAGAAUUAAUGGGGAUUGUUGGGUGCAUCCGAAUUUAGCCGUCAGAGGUGAAAUUCUUGGAUCGGCUAAAGACGGACAACUGCGAAAGCGUUUGCCCAGGAUGUUUUCAUUGA
Molecule: ribosomal RNA, 380 nt
Filed under: uncultured eukaryote
Lineage: Eukaryota
Description: partial 18S ribosomal RNA
Rfam family: Eukaryotic small subunit ribosomal RNA
Source: RNAcentral